This 736-nucleotide long non-coding RNA is filed under the name Manihot esculenta (cassava). RNAcentral's name for it is "long non-coding RNA (MESC_LNC005406)". Lineage: Eukaryota; Viridiplantae; Streptophyta; Magnoliopsida; Malpighiales; Euphorbiaceae. The record is from RNAcentral.
ACGAAGAGAAGAGUUUUGAACCAUUUAUUUCAAUUUAAAUUUAUUGAUAUUUUUAUUAAUUUAUUAAUUAUAUAUUGGACAACAAAAUCAUACAUUUUUUCUUUUACAUCUCAAUUUCUAAUACGCACCCAAGUAUUUUGAGAAAUUCUGAACAAAAUUCCAAUAUCCCUCCGGACUGCGAUUGAUGAAACGUACAAGAUGAUAUGCCGAAAGGGACUUACAGUAUCUAUGUGGUAUUGGGUGGUCAAUAUUUUUCAGGCCACAAGAAUGCACCCAUUGCAAAUGAUCUCUUCUCUUCAAGGGUGCCCUUAAAGUUUAGGCCAUAUUCCCUAAGGAGAAAAUCCAGCCUCCUCUCAUCCAUCUUCUCAUAAUCUGACUUGGAGUACCGUGGAUAAUGAAGAGGCAUUUGGAACCCCCGUGAAAGAUAAGACUCCAUCUCUAAGGUUGGCUUUGUGUUAUUGAUGACUCCUCCAUUGACGUAUUGCUCGCUGUGGUACCCUACAACUUGGCCGUCCUCCUGCACCUUCCUGCUCUCUUUGCUAGGGUACCCUACAACAUGACAAGCCGAAUGAAGAAGCCACCUCAAAGCCAUCUAUUCUCUCUCCCUCUUUCUCUCUCUCUCGACACAAAGAGAAAUUUCUGGAAGUUGGAGUUUGAAGCAAAGUUAUAGGAAGAAGGAACUCUAUUUAUAGGCAGAUUGAAAACGUACAGGACAAAUGUUUUAUAUUUAAUAAAU